RNAcentral lists this ribosomal RNA (229 nucleotides) under uncultured bacterium. RNAcentral describes it as "partial 16S ribosomal RNA". It matches the Rfam family "Bacterial small subunit ribosomal RNA", at positions 118 to 351 of the family's 1533-position model. The record is from RNAcentral.
UGGAUUAUCUACCCUGAGGUGGGGGAUAACCCGGGGAAACUCGGGCUAAUACCGCAUAUGACCGCGAGGUCAAAGGGGGCUCGCAAGGGCUCUCGCCAUAGGAGGAGUCCGCGUCCGAUUAGCUAGUUGGUAGGGUAAUGGCCUACCAAGGCGACGAUCGGUAGCCGGCCUGAGAGGGUGAUCGGCCACACUGGAACUGAGACACGGCCCAGACUCCUACGGGAGGCAG